This 1343-nucleotide ribosomal RNA is filed under the name uncultured bacterium. RNAcentral's name for it is "16S ribosomal RNA". It matches the Rfam family "Bacterial small subunit ribosomal RNA", at positions 28 to 1378 of the family's 1533-position model. The record is from RNAcentral.
GACGAACGUUGGCGGCGUGCUUAACACAUGCAAGUCGAACGGAAAGGCCCUGCUUUUGUGGGGUGCUCGAGUGGCGAACGGGUGAGUAACACGUGAGUAACCUGCCCUUGACUUUGGGAUAACUUCAGGAAACUGGGGCUAAUACCGGAUAGGAGCUCCUGCUGCAUGGUGGGGGUUGGAAAGUUUCGGCGGUUGGGGAUGGACUCGCGGCUUAUCAGCUUGUUGGUGGGGUAGUGGCUUACCAAGGCUUUGACGGGUAGCCGGCCUGAGGGGGUGACCGGCCACAUUGGGACUGAGAUACGGCCCAGACUCCUACGGGAGGCAGCAGUGGGGAAUAUUGCACAAUGGGCGGAAGCCUGAUGCAGCAACGCCGCGUGCGGGAUGACGGCCUUCGGGUUGUAAACCGCUUUCGCCUGUGACGAAGCGUGAGUGACGGUAAUGGGUAAAGAAGCACCGGCUAACUACGUGCCAGCAGCCGCGGUGAUACGUAGGGUGCGAGCGUUGUCCGGAUUUAUUGGGCGUAAAGGGCUCGUAGGUGGUUGAUCGCGUCGGAAGUGUAAUCUUGGGGCUUAACCCUGAGCGUGCUUUCGAUACGGGUUGACUUGAGGAAUUUAGGGGAGAAUGGAAUUCCUGGUGGAGCGGUGGAAUGCGCAGAUAUCAGGAGGAACACCAGUGGCGAAGGCGGUUCUCUGGGCCUUUCCUGACGCUGAGGAGCGAAAGCGUGGGGAGCGAACAGGCUUAGAUACCCUGGUAGUCCACGCUGUAAACGGUGGGUACUAGGUGUGGGGUCCAUUCCACGGGUUCCGUGCCGUAGCUAACGCUUUAAGUACCCCGCCUGGGGAGUACGGCCGCAAGGCUAAAACUCAAAGGAAUUGACGGGGCCCCGCACAAGCGGCGGAGCAUGCGGAUUAAUUCGAUGCAACGCGUAGAACCUUACCUGGGUUUGACAUGGAUCGGGAGCGCUCAGAGAUGGGUGUGCCUCUUUUGGGGUCGGUUCACAGGUGGUGCAUGGCUGUCGUCAGCUCGUGUCGUGAGAUGUUGGGUUAAGUCCCGCAACGAGCGCAACCCUUGUUCACUGUUGCCAGCACGUUAUGGUGGGGACUCAGUGGAGACCGCCGGGGUCAACUCGGAGGAAGGUGGGGAUGACGUCAAGUCAUCAUGCCCCUUAUGUCCAGGGCUUCACGCAUGCUACAAUGGCUGGUACAGAGAGUGGCGAGCCUGUGAGGGUGAGCGAAUCUCGGAAAGCCGGUCUCAGUUCGGAUUGGGGUCUGCAACUCGACCUCAUGAAGUCGGAGUCGCUAGUAAUCGCAGAUCAGCAACGCUGCGGUGAAUACGUUCCCGGG